This 74-nucleotide transfer RNA is filed under the name Merops nubicus (carmine bee-eater). It matches the Rfam family "tRNA". From Rfam's summary of the family: Transfer RNA (tRNA) molecules are approximately 80 nucleotides in length. Their secondary structure includes four short double-helical elements and three loops (D, anti-codon, and T loops). Lineage: Eukaryota; Metazoa; Chordata; Aves; Coraciiformes; Meropidae. RNAcentral also lists the same sequence under 1 other name. The record is from Rfam by way of RNAcentral.
GUCUCUGUGGCGCAACUGGUUAGCGCGUUCGGCUGUUAACCGAAAGGCUGGUGGUUCAAGCCCACCCAGGGACG